CCGCCGUAGCGCUGGGGUUGGCAGGAGGACAGCUCCGGGACCCGUUGUGUACCCGAUGGCCUCAGAAAGCGCCGAUGUGCAGUGUGAGCCUCUAAAUAUCCCCAUCAGUUCCACUUUGCCACAUCCUAUAGACCCGCGGUGAGGGGGCCGAAAAGUCGUGGUAUACUUCUAGGAUGUAUGAUGCAGCGCCAUCUGCCGGUGCUCGUCUUCCUCUACGUGCUACGUAGCAGCACCCUCUGACGGUGGGACACGCCUGCGAUGAGUAGGCUAUCGCCGUCUUGUAGCCCUGGUCAGCAGCUGUUGCUCUGAUCAGGAAAAUAGACAUACAGAAAAACGUGGAGCUCAUCCUAAAGAAGCUGGGGCAACUGGUGCAUUAUGUCGGGCCUUAAAACGGCCAACCGCAUACUCGCGCGGUGCAGGCAACUCAGUUGCCUGACAUGGCAACUCCGUCGCCAUCCAUCUUGGGCCGGUGAGAGGAGGAGAGAAACUCACCCCGGGAGCUUCGUGAGUGUUAUGACCAUGGCAGAUUGCUUUAAAAUCCUGAUUGACGACCUUCUUGGGUUUGGACACGGUCUGCUCGGGCCAGGAGUCCAGAGUAAAGCUCAGUAGGCAUCGCGCCCAUAGGCCAGUCACUUCACUCAGUGGCUGCUACCGCCGACUCUGGAGACUCGGAAGAAAAGAACCGCCAGCCUGGAUCGGAGGCGGGCACAACGAGGAGGAGCUCGACCAGCCCUGAUAGCCAGAACGGUAACU
Long non-coding RNA from Drosophila miranda, 753 nucleotides. RefSeq lists it as uncharacterized. NCBI's taxonomy places the organism in Eukaryota, Metazoa, Arthropoda, Insecta, Diptera, Drosophilidae. The record is from RefSeq and is a predicted model, not a curated record. The transcript has 3 exons.